This is a long non-coding RNA of Clupea harengus (Atlantic herring), 327 nucleotides long. The record is from Ensembl. NCBI's taxonomy places the organism in Eukaryota, Metazoa, Chordata, Actinopteri, Clupeiformes, Clupeidae.
GUUCAGUGUGUAGUGUGUGGUGCUGGUGUGUGUAGUGUGUGUAGUGUGUGUAGUGUGUGUGUGGUGUGUGUAGUGUGUGUGUAGUGUGUGUAGUGUGUGUAGUGUGUGUAGUGUGUGUGUGUAGUGUGUGUAGUGUGUGUAGUGUGUGUGUGUUGCAGCCAGGCUGUUCAGUGUGUAGUGUGUGUGCUGUGUGUGUAGUGUGUGUAGUGUGUGUGUGGUGUGUGUAGUGUGUGUAGUGUGUGUAGUGUGUGUGUGUAGUGUGUGUAGUGUGUGUAGUGUGUGUAGUGUGUGUGUAGUGUGUGUAGUGUGUGUGUGUGGUGCAGCCAG